CCUGGUAGUCCGCACUGUAAACGAUGAUCACUAGCUGUUAGCGAUAGACUGUUAGCGGCACAGCGAAAGCGUUAAGUGAUCCACCUGGGGAGUACGCCGGCAACGGUGAAACUCAAAGGAAUUGACGGGCUGCCAAACUCAAAGGAAUUGACGGGNGGCCA
RNAcentral lists this ribosomal RNA (161 nucleotides) under uncultured bacterium. RNAcentral's name for it is "partial 16S rRNA". It matches the Rfam family "Bacterial small subunit ribosomal RNA", at positions 786 to 947 of the family's 1533-position model. The record is from RNAcentral.